RNAcentral lists this ribosomal RNA (460 nucleotides) under uncultured bacterium. Its description in RNAcentral is "partial 16S ribosomal RNA". It matches the Rfam family "Bacterial small subunit ribosomal RNA", at positions 338 to 795 of the family's 1533-position model. The record is from RNAcentral.
CCUACGGGGGGCAGCAGUGAGGAAUAUUGGUCAAUGGACGAGAGUCUGAACCAGCCAAGUCGCGUGAAGGAUGACUGCUCUAUGGGUUGUAAACUUCUUUUAUACGGGAAUAAACCGAUCUACGCGUGGGUGUCUGUAAGUAUCAUACGAAUAAGGAUCGGCUAACUCCGUGCCAGCAGCCGCGGUAAUACGGAGGAUCCGAGCGUUAUCCGGAUUUAUUGGGUUUAAAGGGUGCGUAGGUGGAUUGUUAAGUUAGUUGUGAAAGUUUGCGGCUCAACCGUAAAAUUGCAGUUGAUACUGGUAGUCUUGAGAACAGUAGAGGUAGGCGGAAUUCGUGGUGUAGCGGUGAAAUGCUUAGAGAUCACAAAGAACACCGAUUGCGAAGGCAGUUUACUGAGCUGCAACUGACACUGAGGCUCGAAAGUGUGGGUAUCAAACAGGAUUAGAUACCCUGGUAGUC